AGAUGGCCCGGGCAUUUUAACCCAUUCUUCUACAUUGUAUAGCAGGGAGGAAUCACAUUUCAUUUCCAGGUGAAAGUAUUAGCAGCUGAGCUCCGUCGUCUUAAUUUUGAAACCCUAGAAAAUACAAAAGAAUUAUGACAUAGGUGGUGAUUGGUGAUCAAGAUGGUGAAGCUCACAAUGAUUGCCCGUGCUACCGAUGGUCUUCCAUUAGUAGAAGGAUUGGAUGAUGUACGUAAUCUACAAGAUGCUGAUGUUUACAAGCACCAGGCUAAGGCGUUGUUUAAGAACCUGUCAAGCGGUCAGAAUGAUGCGUCAAGAAUGUCAAUUGAAACUGGUCCUUAUGUUUUCCACUAUAUUAUUGAAGGCCAUGUAUGUUACUUGACAAUGUGUGAUCGUUCUUAUCCAAAGAAGCUUGCUUUCCAAUACCUGGAGGACUUGAGAAAUGAAUUUGAACGUGUUAAUGGAAAUCAAAUAGAAACAGCUGCGAGACCCUAUGCGUUUAUCAAAUUUGAUACUUUUAUACAGAAGACCAAGAAACUGUACUUGGAUACUAGUACUCAACGGAACCUUGCCAAGUUGAAUGAUGAACUUUUUGAGGUGCACCAAAUCAUGACUCGGAACGUUCAAGAAGUUCUUGGUGUCGGUGAAAAAUUGGACCAGGUCACCCAAAUGUCGAGUCGCUUAACCUCUGAAUCUCGCAUCUAUGCCGAUAAGGCAAGAGAUCUAAAUCGACAGGUGGUGAUUGGUGAUCAUUUCAAGUAUUCUGAAGAUGGUGAAGCUCACAAUGAUAGCCCGUGUUACCGAUGGUCUUCCAUUAGUAGAAGGAUUGGAUGAUGCACGUAAUCUACAAGAUGCUGAUGUUUACAAGCACCAGGCUAAGGCGUUGUUUAAGAACCUGUCAAGCGGUCAGAAUGAUGCGUCGAGAAUGUCAAUUGAGACUGGUCCUUAUGUUUUCCACUAUAUUAUUGAAGGCCAUGUAUGUUACUUGACAAUGUGUGAUCGUUCUUAUCCUAAGAAGCUUGCUUUCCAAUACUUGGAGGACUUGAGAAAUGAAUUUGAACGUGUUAAUGGAAAUCAAAUAGAAACAGCUGCGAGACCCUAUGCAUUUAUCAAGUUUGAAGACCAAGAAACUGUACUUGGAUACUAGUACUCAACGGAACCUUGCCAAGUUGAAUGAUGAACUUUUUGAGGUGCAUCAAAUAAUGAUUAGGAACGUUCAAGAAGUUCUUGGUGUCGGUGAAAAAUUGGACC
Molecule: RNA transcript, 1251 nt
Organism: Papaver somniferum (opium poppy)
Lineage: Eukaryota; Viridiplantae; Streptophyta; Magnoliopsida; Ranunculales; Papaveraceae
Gene name: 25.3 kDa vesicle transport protein-like
Exons: 8
Source: RefSeq, a predicted model, not a curated record